RNAcentral lists this ribosomal RNA (417 nucleotides) under Providencia rettgeri. RNAcentral's name for it is "bacterial SSU rRNA". It matches the Rfam family "Bacterial small subunit ribosomal RNA", at positions 1 to 416 of the family's 1533-position model. RNAcentral also lists the same sequence under 1 other name. Lineage: Bacteria; Pseudomonadati; Pseudomonadota; Gammaproteobacteria; Enterobacterales; Morganellaceae. The record is from RNAcentral.
UAAUUGAAGAGUUUGAUCAUGGCUCAGAUUGAACGCUGGCGGCAGGCCUAACACAUGCAAGUCGAGCGGUAACAGGGGAAGCUUGCUUCCCGCUGACGAGCGGCGGACGGGUGAGUAAUGUAUGGGGAUCUGCCCGAUAGAGGGGGAUAACCACUGGAAACGGUGGCUAAUACCGCAUAAUCUCUUAGGAGCAAAGCAGGGGAACUUCGGUCCUUGCGCUAUCGGAUGAACCCAUAUGGGAUUAGCUAGUAGGUGGGGUAAUGGCUCACCUAGGCGACGAUCCCUAGCUGGUCUGAGAGGAUGAUCAGCCACACUGGGACUGAGACACGGCCCAGACUCCUACGGGAGGCAGCAGUGGGGAAUAUUGCACAAUGGGCGCAAGCCUGAUGCAGCCAUGCCGCGUGUAUGAAGAAGGCC